UAAACUUGAAACUUGCAAUUUUACCAUUUUUAAAGAAAAAUCAUGCUAGCCGAAUUUACUAGGGGCCCUCUGCAGCCCGUAUGUAUCAUUUUUUUACAAAAAUUUCAUGUAGUUUUACAAUUUAAACAAUUUAAUCUCUAAACAUUAAAAUUACUAAAAAUCACUUAACAAAAUACUUCUAUUUAACAAGCAGGCUUAAUAAUCUAACAAAUAAAUUUAAAGACACACAUAAAUCAUUUAUGUAAAGUCCCUAAACUUUUAACAAUCUUACGAAUUGGCCCCUGGGUUAACUAUAUUAAGUUAAAACGAUCACAAAAACAUCAAA
Molecule: long non-coding RNA, 325 nt
Filed under: Gossypium raimondii (Peruvian cotton)
Lineage: Eukaryota; Viridiplantae; Streptophyta; Magnoliopsida; Malvales; Malvaceae
Description: long non-coding RNA (GRAI_LNC005466)
Source: RNAcentral